RNAcentral lists this ribosomal RNA (119 nucleotides) under Lepisosteus oculatus (spotted gar). The record is from RNAcentral. Lineage: Eukaryota; Metazoa; Chordata; Actinopteri; Semionotiformes; Lepisosteidae.
GUCAGCAGCCAUAUCACCCUGCAACUGACAUCUGGCAACCCACUGAAGCUAAGCAGGUGUGAGCCUGGUCAGUACCUGAAUGGGAGACCUCCUGGGAAACACUAAGGUUGCUGCUGGAA